UGCAACCUACCUUUAACAGGGGGAUAACACUGAGAAAUUGGUACUAAUACCCCAUAAUAUCAUAGAAGGCAUCUUUUAUGGUUGAAAAAUUCCGAUGGUUAGAGAUGGGCAUGCGUUGUAUUAGCUAGUUGGUGGGGUAACGGCUCACCAAGGCGACGAUACAUAGGGGGACUGAGAGGUUAACCCCCCACACUGGUACUGAGACACGGACCAGACUCCUACGGGAGGCAGCAGUGAGGAAUAUUGGUCAAUGGACGCAAGUCUGAACCAGCCAUGCCGCGUGCAGGAUGACGGCUCUAUGAGUUGUAAACUGCUUUUGUACGAGGGUAAACGCAGAUACGUGUAUCUGUCUGAAAGUAUCGUACGAAUAAGGAUCGGCUAACUCCGUGCCGGCAGCCGCGGUAAUACGGAGGAUUCAAGCGUUAUCCGGAUUUAUUGGGUUUAAAGGGUGCGUAGGCGGUUUGAUAAGUUAGAGGUGAAAUUUCGGGGCUCAACCCUGAACGUGCCUCUAAUACUGUUGAGCUAGAGAGUAGUUGCGGUAGGCGGAAUGUAUGGUGUAGCGGUGAAAUGCUUAGAGAUCAUACAGAACACCGAUUGCGAAGGCAGCUUACCAAACUAUAUCUGACGUUGAGGCACGAAAGCGUGGGGAGCAAACAGGAUUAGAUACCCUGGUAGUCCACGCAGUAAACGAUGAUAACUCGUUGUCGGCGAUACACAGUCGGUGACUAAGCGAAAGCGAUAAGUUAUCCACCUGGGGAGUA
RNAcentral lists this ribosomal RNA (761 nucleotides) under uncultured bacterium. RNAcentral describes it as "bacterial SSU rRNA". It matches the Rfam family "Bacterial small subunit ribosomal RNA", at positions 120 to 882 of the family's 1533-position model. The record is from RNAcentral.